GGGGUGAUAGCUCAGUUGGGAGAGCGUACGACUGAAGUUAAAACUUUCAGUUUAGUUAAAUCGUAAGGUCGCUGGUUCGAUCCCGGCUCGCCCCA
Non-coding RNA from Onygenales sp. PD_12, 95 nucleotides. The record is from the annotation of a GenBank genome assembly. NCBI's taxonomy places the organism in Eukaryota, Fungi, Ascomycota, Eurotiomycetes, Onygenales.